AGGGAGACCUACCCUCUUARGAUUGUGAGGAGUCAGGAGUGAGGAGUGAGGAGAAAUCCAAAGCUUCAAGUUACUGAAUCAUAAUUACAUCUUGAGAAGGUCAUCCCAAGGUCGUUCGAGAAUAAGUGUUGACUUCCAAACUAUCGACUUGGUUGGGUAAAUGGGCUAUUAGCUCAGGUGGUUAGAGCGCACCCCUGAUAAGGGUGAGGUCCCUGGUUCGAGUCCAGGAUGGCCCACCAAUACUUAUUAGCGGGGGUUUAGCUCAGUUGGUAGAGCGCCUGCUUUGCAAGCAGGAUGUCAACGGUUCGAGUCCGUUAACCUCCACUCGUCAAUUAUCCACCCAUUACUCAUUCAUCUGAAGGGCAAAAGAUUCAGCAACUCGUUUAGGUCAAACUAGAGAGCCUGCUGGAGAUUUCCAGCCAGAACCAUGAAAACUGCAUAGAAACUUGUUAGGUAGAAAGUAGCUGACGUUUACAAAGUUCUUUCGGGUGAAAACCGGAGAGUAACCUAAGAACUGUCAGAGACAAAUGAUCACAGACACCAAUGUUGAGAGUUGACUAACGUUAACUAAUCAAGUGUCAGCUAGAGA
This 589-nucleotide transfer RNA is filed under the name Phormidesmis sp. T62-1. RNAcentral describes it as "partial contains 16S ribosomal RNA, 16S-23S ribosomal RNA intergenic spacer, and 23S ribosomal RNA". Lineage: Bacteria; Bacillati; Cyanobacteriota; Cyanophyceae; Leptolyngbyales; Leptolyngbyaceae. The record is from RNAcentral.